AUGGGGACGGGAUCAAGCAUCCUUGGCGCCGAUGCCGAUUGGGGUGAGACGUCUCUCGGCGACAUGCCGGAGAGCUGCGUGGCGGCGGUGCUGCUCAACCUUGACCCGCCGGAGAUCUGCCAAGUAGCCUGCCUCAACCGCGCCUUCCGGGGCGCCGCAUCCGCGGACUGCGUCUGGGCCGGCAAGCUGCCCGCUAACUACCGGUACCUUGCGGCCCUCGCAGCUGCCGCUGAUGAUGAGGGCGAUGGCGACGGAGACGGCAAUGUCAAGCCCUGCUCCCCUAUAUCGACUAAGAAGGGGAUUUACGCGCGCCUGUGCCGACCUACUCCAUUUGAUGGCGGUACAAAGGAAUUCUGGAUCGAGAAGAACAAGGGAGGUCUUUGUAUGUCCAUCUCCUCAAAAGCGAUGGCGAUCACAGGUAUAGAUGACCGAAGAUAUUGGAGCCACCUUGUCACAGAGGAAUCAAGAUUCCAUAGUGUUGCCUAUCUUCAGCAAAUUUGGUGGCUUGAAGUGGGUGGGGAGCUUGAUUUCUGCUUCCCUGCAGGUUCAUACAGCCUGUUUUUCCGUCUUCACCUGGGUCGAGCGCACAGACGCAUGGGUCGUCGGGUUUGUGGAACUGAGCUCAUUCAUGGGUGGGAUGCCAGACCCACGCGGUUCCAGCUCUCAACAUCGGACGAACAGCAGGCUACAUCGGAGUAUUAUCUAGAUGGACCGGGAAGCUGGAUUCUCUACCACGUCGGUGAUUUUGUCAUCUCGAACUCGGAUGAGCUGACCAGCCUGAAGUAUUCAAUGAUGCAGAUUGACUGCACCCAUACGAAAGGUGGUUUGUGCGUUGAUUCGGUUGCGAUAUACCCGAAAGGGUAUCGGCGCGAGAACAUGAACAUGGUCUACAUGUGA
Molecule: ribosomal RNA, 897 nt
Filed under: Triticum aestivum (bread wheat)
Lineage: Eukaryota; Viridiplantae; Streptophyta; Magnoliopsida; Poales; Poaceae
Description: partial small subunit ribosomal RNA
Source: RNAcentral